This 79-nucleotide non-coding RNA is filed under the name Ensifer adhaerens. RNAcentral's name for it is "suhB". The stretch from base 1 to 70 matches the Rfam family "Alphaproteobacterial ar15", at positions 44 to 112 of the family's 112-position model. RNAcentral also lists the same sequence under 2 other names. Lineage: Bacteria; Pseudomonadati; Pseudomonadota; Alphaproteobacteria; Hyphomicrobiales; Rhizobiaceae. The record is from RNAcentral.
AGCUGUUCCCCUCUGGAGGUUUUUGACCUUCACACCUUUAUGGGCCGCGGUCUUCCGCUGGCCCUUUUUUCUUUUCUGC